Molecule: ribosomal RNA, 438 nt
Filed under: uncultured bacterium
Lineage: Bacteria
Description: partial 16S ribosomal RNA
Rfam family: Bacterial small subunit ribosomal RNA
Source: RNAcentral
CUACGGGAUGCUCCAGUGAGGAAUAUUGCGCAAUGGGGGAACCCUGAUGCAGCAACGCCGCGUGGAGGAUGACGCAUUUCGGUGUGUAAACUCCUUUUAUAUGUCAAGAAAAUGACGGUAGCAUAUGAAUAAACACCGGCUAACUCCGUGCCAGCAGCCGCGGUAAUACGGAGGGUGCAAGCGUUACUCGGAAUCACUGGGCGUAAAGGACGCGUAGGCGGGUUGGAAAGUCAGGUGUGAAAUCCUACAGCUUAACUGUAGAACUGCACUUGAAACUUCUAAUCUAGAGUAUGGGAGGGGGAGAUGGAAUUAGUGGUGUAGGGGUAAAAUCCGUAGAUAUCACUAGGAAUACCUAAAGCGAAGGCGAUCUCCUGGAACAUUACUGACGCUAAGGCGUGAAAGCGUGGGGAGCAAACAGGAUUAGAUACCCCAGUAGUC